CCCGACUGCUAUCGGAUUGGGAUUUAACCAUGUUAGUCGUGCGUUCCUCGGCUACAGGCGCGCAUCGUACGGCUCACUGACACGUAUUCUACCUGCCCUGUAGACAAGGACACGCCCGGGAAACUGGGGCUGAUCCUCGAUAGAUGACCUCAUCUGGAAGGAGUGGUCUUCCAAAGGGGGACACGGGUAUGCUCUGUGUCAUCCGCUCCAAGAUGGGACUGGGGUCGAUCAGGCUGUUGGCGGGGCUAUGGCCCACCAAACCUGUAACCGGUACGGGCUUUGAAAAAAGGAGCCCGGAGAUGGACACUGAAACAAGGGUCCAAGCCCUACGGGGCGCAUCAGGGGCGAAAACUUCGCAAUGCGCGAAAGCGUGACGAGGGUAAUCCGAGUGCUAUCUGCUAGAGAUGGCUUUUCUCGGCUGUAAAUAGGGCGGGGAAUAAGGGGAAGGCAAGUCUGGUGU
This 460-nucleotide ribosomal RNA is filed under the name uncultured archaeon. Its description in RNAcentral is "bacterial SSU rRNA". It matches the Rfam family "Archaeal small subunit ribosomal RNA", at positions 24 to 458 of the family's 1478-position model. The record is from RNAcentral.